This is a long non-coding RNA of Symphalangus syndactylus (siamang), 2607 nucleotides long. RefSeq lists it as uncharacterized. NCBI's taxonomy places the organism in Eukaryota, Metazoa, Chordata, Mammalia, Primates, Hylobatidae. The record is from RefSeq and is a predicted model, not a curated record.
GCCUCUUCAUCUCUCCAUCCUCCCUCCGCCCGCACACUCAGCCGUCCUCGUCCGCUCACCAUGCACCCCCACCCCAGAAAGGGCCACAUGCGUGCCAGGGACGCGAGCCCCGGCCACAGGGACCUAGCAGCCUAGAAGACCAAUGGGGCUUUCUCCUUGCCCUAAGUGCUCCAUCUCUAACACUGGCAUGAAGGAAACACCAAGUGGCACUGCUGAUGCUGCCCAGCCCCACUGAGCGCAGAGGCCAACGAUGUCAGGUAUACCAGGAACACUUAUCAACAUCCUGCAUGGUUCCAGCAAAGACGUUAAGACAGUUGGGACUGUUGGUGAGGACAGAGGAUCUUCACAAACCCUCUGACUCUAAGAGCCGGGGAGACCUGCUGGAGUUUACCCCACAUUCCCUUAAUUAAAAAAAUCAAUUUUGCUGGGCACGGUGGCUCGCGUCUGUAAUUCCAGCAAUUUGGGAGGUCAAGGCAGGAGGAUUGCUUGAGCCCAAGAGUUUAAGACCAGCCUGGGCAACAUGGGAAAUGCGAUUUAUCAGAAGGAAAACUGAAAUUGAAGCCACAAGGAAAACAAGAAAGCACUCAUGUGGACUCUUCAGGUGACAGAGCUUGAGCUGAAGGCCAAGUCACAGUUACGCUUUCUAAGAAUUAUCGGCAUGACUCUUGGAAGAAAAACGCUAAUUUGUAAAAAGUUCCUAGUUAAAAGAUAUACUGAGUUUUCCCCCUCGAGUGUAUCAGCGAACUCUGGCAAACAAUAAAUAAGUAAUACAGCUUUUUACUAAAAAUGCCACAAAGUAAGCUAUUCUCACCCAAAACAUCCAGCUUAACUAAGGUUUUAUAUAAAUGUACUUUUCUUUUGAUUUUUAUACAGGUGAUAGAGAACAAAAUUUAUGAACCUACAUAUGGGAGGGGCUGAUGACAAAAAUUUGCAAAAACCCCAUUAGCACAGUUUUCAAUUAUUAUUAUUAUUAUUUUUUUGUAGAGAUGGGGUCUCACGGUGUUGCCCAGGCUAGUCUCAAACUUGAGCUCAAGUGAUCCUCCUGCCUCUCAGCCUCCCAAAGCGCUAGGAUUACUGGCAUAAGCCACCAUGACUGGCCCCUAAUUAGCACCUAAAAAUUUUUUUUUUUUUUUUUUUUUUUUUUUUGAGACAGAGUCUCAGUCUGUCGUCAAGGCUGUUGGCUCACUGCACCCUCUGCCUCCCAGGUCCAAAUGAUUCUCGUGCCUCAGCCUCCCAGGUAGCUGGGAUUACAAGCAUGUGCCACCACACCUGGCUAAUUUUGUAUUUUUUCUGUAGAGACGGGGUUUUGCCAUGUUGGCCAGACUGGUCUUGAACUCCUGGCCUCAAGGAUUAGCACAGUUUUUAAUGCCACUUCCUUUCCUCCAGUCUGCUCACUGGCCUCAGAACUGAGCAUGAGUGGCACCUGUGUGUAGCACAGGGGCUGCCAAAUAGCCCCCACUGACACGGGCUCAGAACUUCACCAGCUUUAUGAACAAGGCAUUUAAUCAUCACAACUACUCUAUAAGGAAGACACUACUAUGACGACCAUUUUACAGAUGGGGAAACUGAGGCACAGUGUAGUUAAAUGACUUGCUCAGGGUCAUGCACCUCCUAGCGGCAGAGCUGGAGUCAAACCUAGGCAGCCUGGCUCUUCAACCUGUGCACUGUCUUUCAUUAGAUGAGUACAAGGUCAGAGACCUGUCAGGAAGCCAUGGUCAACUGUUAACCUCAAAUCAAAGUGGUUGUCAAAGGGAAAAUCCCAAACUGCACUUGAAAUCAUGGUGGUGAUGCUCUCUCUCUGGCUGGCAUAGUCAAUGGCCGCCUCGCUCCACUGGGGACUUGGAGGUUCACCUUCCUCCCUUCCCUGCCCUCUAAUGGGUAGACAUGUGACUGCACGGAACAGCAGCAGCAGGGGCGGCAGAAAGGACAGGCAGAGCUCACACAAGCUGGAAACUGUGUGUUCUUAAAAAUGUACUCAGUUAUUUUCUCUGGUGUGGAGAGCAGUAAAUUAUGUGGUUUGGAAGCUACUACUACACUACUAUUUCCUGAAAGAGCUUUCUAGCACGGCCUGUCACAGACACAUAUUUACAAGUAUGCCUCAGUCUCUCUCUGAGAACACAGACAAAUAUUGAGCUUUAUUAGUUGGAAAAAUAUGCUAAGAUUCAACCAGACAAGAAUGUUUUAAAAAUUCUAUUAUUAUGGUUAAACUUUUAUAAACAAAUGUUAGAGUUAAUUUAAAAACAUAUUUGGACAUGCAACCAUACUCAAGUGCCUUGUAACAUAUUAAACAGGCCGUUUUAGAUCAUUAUUAAUAUUCCAGACAGAAAGCUGCUCAUGCUCCCAACAAGUGACGGUUAGCGCGACCCAUCACAUACCGUCCAUCUGCAUCUUCUUUGGCUGCAUAGAGGGGGAAGACAUAGAAGACGUCACCCGGAAGUUUGCAGGGAGAGUCUCUGCUGACCCAGCAGCUAAGCCACGAAUGUCCUUUGGUCUAAACUUUUUUCUCCAUGAAGGUGCUCUCCUAAAGCUUUUAUCAUCAUCCUGGUAAAUUAAAGAACAAAAAACAAGAUUCAUUUAAAAAAUAAAGGUCAGAGAUGUAAAGUUAAA